This 839-nucleotide ribosomal RNA is filed under the name uncultured bacterium. Its description in RNAcentral is "bacterial SSU rRNA". It matches the Rfam family "Bacterial small subunit ribosomal RNA", at positions 28 to 916 of the family's 1533-position model. The record is from RNAcentral.
AACGAAACGCUGGCGGCAGGCCUAACACAUGCAAGUCGAGCGCACCCUUCGGGGCGAGCGGCGGACGGGUUAGUAACGCGUGGGAACAUACCCUUUUCUACGGAAUAGCCUCGGGAAACUGAGAGUAAUACCGUAUAAGCCCUUCGGGGGAAAGAUUAUCGGGAAAGGAUUGGCCCGCGUUAGAUUAGAUAGUUGGUGGGGUAAUGGCCUACCAAGUCUACGAUCUAUAGCUGGUUUUAGAGGAUGAUCAGCAACACUGGGACUGAGACACGGCCCAGACUCCUACGGGAGGCAGCAGUGGGGAAUCUUAGACAAUGGGCGCAAGCCUGAUCUAGCCAUGCCGCGUGUGUGAUGAAGGCCUUAGGGUCGUAAAGCACUUUCGCUAGGGAUGAUAAUGACAGUACCUAGUAAAGAAACCCCGGCUAACUCCGUGCCAGCAGCCGCGGUAAUACGGAGGGGGUUAGCGUUGUUCGGAAUUACUGGGCGUAAAGCGUACGUAGGCGGAUCAGAAAGUAUAGGGUGAAAUCCCGAGGCUCAACCUCGGAACUGCCUUGUAAACUCCUGGUCUUGAGUUCGAGAGAGGUGAGUGGAAUUCAAGUGUAGAGGUGAAAUUCGUAGAUAUUUGGAGGAACACCAGUGGCGAAGGCGGCUCACUGGCUCGAUACUGACGCUGAGGUACGAAAGUGUGGGGAGCAAACAGGAUUAGAUACCCUGGUAGUCCAUACCGUAAACGAUGAAUGCCAGUCGUCGGGUAGCAUGCUAUUCGGUGACACACCUAACGGAUUAAGCAUUCCGCCUGGGGAGUACGGUCGCAAGAUAAAAUCUACAAAGAAUGACGG